CCUACGGGAGGCAGCAGUGGGGAAUAUUGGACAAUGGGCGAAAGCCUGAUCCAGCAAUGCCGCGUGUGUGAAGAAGGCCUGCGGGUUGUAAAGCACUUUCAGUUGGGAAGAUGAUGACGUUACCAACAGAAGAAGCACCGGCUAAAUCCGUGCCAGCAGCCGCGGUAAUACGGAUGGUGCGAGCGUUAAUCGGAAUUACUGGGCGUAAAGCGCGCGUAGGCGGCUAAGUCAGUCAGAAGUGAAAGCCCCGGGCUCAACCUGGGAAUUGCUUUUGAUACUGCUUAGCUAGAGUUUGGUAGAGGAUAGUGGAAUUCCAGGUGUAGCGGUGAAAUGCGUAGAUAUCUGGAGGAACAUCAGGGGCGAAGGCGACUGUCUGGACCAAAACUGACGCUGAGGUGCGAAAGCGUGGGUAGCAAACAGGAUUAGAUACCCUGGUAGUCCACGCCGUAAACGAUGUCAACUAGCCGUCGGACCUAUUUACAGGUUUGGUGGCGCAGCUAACGCGAUAAGUUGACCGCCUGGGGAGUACGGCCGCAAGGUUAAAACUCAAAGGAAUUGACGG
Molecule: ribosomal RNA, 562 nt
Filed under: uncultured bacterium
Lineage: Bacteria
Description: bacterial SSU rRNA
Rfam family: Bacterial small subunit ribosomal RNA
Source: RNAcentral